Molecule: ribosomal RNA, 507 nt
Filed under: Triticum aestivum (bread wheat)
Lineage: Eukaryota; Viridiplantae; Streptophyta; Magnoliopsida; Poales; Poaceae
Description: partial small subunit ribosomal RNA
Source: RNAcentral
AUGAUUCAAGAAGGCGUAAAAUGCCACGUCGGAAGACCCACCUUCCUUGAUGGCUUCUGCAGCCAUCUCUUUCGCCAUGGCCGCCCUCUCUCGAAGCUUUUGCCCUUCCUCCGACUCCAUUACCAGCCUCACCUUGGCAUGCACCUCCUCGGCCUUCACGGACGACUCCUCGUAGCCCUCCACCGCCACCCCGAUCUUCAUCUCCUCCACCAGGUGUAUCUUGUUCAGCCUCUGCUCCGCGUACAGCGGCCAGCAGAUCAUCGGCACGCCGGACAUGACCGCCUCCAGCGCCGAGUUCCACCCGCAGUGCGUCACGAACGCUCCCACGGCCUCGUGCCGCAGCACCUCCGCCUGUGGCGCCCAGUUCUUCAGAACCAAGCCCCUGUCCCCGGUUCUCUGCAAGAAACCAUCAGGAAGCAACGCCUCCAGAUCCGGCUCGCCGGACUUGCUCUGCUCCUCGCGUGGGCUACGCACGGCCCACAGGAACCGGUGGCCGGAGUUCUCUAA